ACACCGUUCCCACUCAGCUUUGCUUCAGCACCGAGGGUUUUGGGGAGGGCGACUAGGGUUUCAACUCGGCGAGCGAACACAGAAUCCUUCCUGGUCGUCGGAAGCAGCUUCAACCGCGUCAGAUUCGUCUCCGCGUCCCAUGCGAUUUAUUCCUCCCUUCUUCUACUCUGUACUCUAUCGGUGUCGCCAUCGUUCAGACGCGGCCGCUGGUUUUGUGUUCGCUUCUUAUGUCAUCGCACACGGUGAUUUGCGGCUGUCAAAGAUUGUGUUCGCCAUCGUCGUUGCUGUCGCUCGGCACACGCCAGACCUGCUGCUGCGUCCUGCACACUCGUCCUUGCACCGUAGCACCUGUGUAACCUGAAACUUCCUUGACAGCGCCGUCCUCUGCUUCGCAGUCAUGCCGUCAUGCCGGUGUUGUCAGUCGUACACGCUGGUUCGUUGAUCGAUGAAGUGUCCCAACACUUUAUCCUAAUAAAUACAUAUACGCUACUAAAGGUCAUUUAUAAUUUGUUGCUGCUGAUUAUAUCAACUAUAUUAGAUAUUUCAUACGUACGUUACCUGUGCGAGUCUAACAAAACAUGCUAAUUGUGAUUUUACAGCUCCCUCAUCCGCUGCAACGACACCGUGAUUGCUUUACAGCUUAAAACCUUCUGUACCGUGACUUGGUAUUCAGUUCACAGGACGAACCUCAUCAUUACAUCCUCGGAUGAGUACGGAUCAAAUGCUAUGCUCGAAGGCGUGUUUCCAUAUUUUACUUUAAGUCAGUUGGUCUGAUUAUAUGGUCGGUCACUCAUACAUUUUUUGGUUUCUGAAUACUAUAUCAACGAUUCACGUUCAACUGCGCCAUUCUUUUACGGCCGGCUUCUAAAUGUUCACCUCUUAUGCAGGUAAGUCUAGAGAUGGUCCCAAAUUUUUUCGUCAUUUUACUUUGCGCAUAUAUACUCCUGCUAAUAAUGUACCAAUCUUAUUUGGUAUAAUUAGUAAUUGGAUUUCAUAGACGAUAUUUAACCUCAA
Zea mays is the source of this 1014-nucleotide long non-coding RNA. RefSeq lists it as uncharacterized. Lineage: Eukaryota; Viridiplantae; Streptophyta; Magnoliopsida; Poales; Poaceae. The record is from RefSeq and is a predicted model, not a curated record. The transcript has 2 exons.